Molecule: unclassified non-coding RNA, 1046 nt
Filed under: Hevea brasiliensis (rubber tree)
Lineage: Eukaryota; Viridiplantae; Streptophyta; Magnoliopsida; Malpighiales; Euphorbiaceae
Source: RNAcentral
UUCCUAUAUAAUUUUAUUAUUUCUCUCUAUCCUUUGUCUCACUCAAGAGUCCAACUCUACCCACCCUGACAAGUGACAAUAUCUAUUUUUGUCUCAAAUCCCCUACAAAACCCUCUGAACAGCUUCUCCGCCGUCACUUACAGUCAAUCUCCGCCACUAUGCAAGCCCAUUUGCUCUCCCCCACUAUAUACCCCGCCACCAUCACAACCACCACCACCACCAGCCCCCUUUUCCCCAAAUGUAGGACCCACUUAAGAAAACCACCCACUCUCACCAUCCGAGCUUCCUCAACGGAAACAUCGACUCCACCACCACAGACCACUACCUCAACAGACCCAUCUCAGCAACUCAACAAAUACAGCAGCCGCAUUACUCAACCCAAGUCACAGGGUGGUUCACAGGCGAUUCUCUAUGGAGUAGGAUUAACUGAUGAGGAUAUGAACAAACCCCAAAUUGGGAUAUCCUCUGUUUGGUAUGAAGGCAACACUUGUAAUAUGCAUUUGUUAAAGCUUGCUGAAGCUGUUAAAGAAGGGGUUACAGAAGCUGGCAUGGUGGGGUUCAGGUUUAAUACCAUUGGUGUUAGUGAUGCUAUUUCCAUGGGGACUAGAGGCAUGUGUUUUAGUUUGCAGUCAAGAGAUUUGAUUGCUGAUAGUAUUGAAACUGUCAUGUCUGCUCAGUGGUAUGAUGGGAAUAUUGCUAUACCUGGAUGUGAUAAAAAUAUGCCAGGCACAAUUAUGGCGAUGGGAAGAUUAAACAGGCCAAGUAUCAUGAUAUAUGGUGGAACCAUUAAGCCUGGUCAUUUCCAAGGGCACACAUUCGAUAUAGUGUCCGCUUUCCAGGUGUAUGGAGAGUAUGUUAGUGGUGCUGUUAGUGAUGAACAGAGGAUGAAUGUAGUUCGUAAUUCAUGUCCUGGUGCGGGGGCUUGUGGUGGAAUGUAUACUGCAAACACCAUGGCAUCUGCUAUUGAGACAUUGGGCAUGUCGCUGCCUUAUAGCUCUUCCACACCUGCUGAAGACCCACUGAAGUUGGAUGAGUGUCGCCUAGCG